CAAGAAAUCGAGGCUGACGGUGCGCUACUCCCUAGCCCGGCCAGUCCCGCUCUCUACCUUGCCUACUGCACCGUUUGUUGCUUCCUGGCGGCGGCUGCCCGUCGCCAGGGCCGUUUGAUACAACCAUGUAUAGAGCAUUGAAAGCUUCUGACAUAACAGCGAAAUCGUA
Molecule: unclassified non-coding RNA, 169 nt
Filed under: soil metagenome
Description: partial internal transcribed spacer 1
Source: RNAcentral